GCCUAGUCCCUCUCUUUCUCUGGCUCCUGUGCGCUUGCUUUCUUUCGUUUUUCCCAGCCCCAUCACUUAUUCAUGGAACAGGUUCAACUCCCAGCACUGAUGUCUGGAAACGACGCGUGGACACAGAAGUGACAGUGGGUGGUUUCGAGAGUGGCCAGCGUGGAUAAUAGCAGCCGGGCAAUGGAGCCACACAACAAAAAGGAGAGCCAGAACAAAGCCCGGCAAUUACAGUAAGAAAGAACUCAUCGCUGUGGGGCAAGGUGGACAGCACAGAGCCACGCUCAUCUUACACAGCUCUCACACAGACACGCAUGCUGGCAAAAGGCAUCCAGCCCAUCAGGAGCCUCUGAGAGGAAACAGGAUGGGGAAUUCCAAACAAAGAGACAGAGCCAAAACAGGAGGCAACGAAGGGGACAGGCCACAGCUUUUAGCAACAUGUCAACUGGACACAUUAUUUCAUAAAAUAUCCUCUGUGAGCAUGAAAAAUGCAGGCUGACUCCAGGAGAAGGGGAAAUGGCGUGCAGGCGUCAGCACCGGAGACCAGGUACAGUUGGGCUGUAACCUCUCCCGCCGACCCCUCGUGACAAGACAGAUAGCUCCAUUCAUCUGCAACUGAGCAGCAGGGCGGUGCUGCAUUUUUCACCCCCGGCCCAGGAUGGAUCUGCUCGCCAGGAGGAAUGUCACCAGCCUGAAUGCCCUGAUCUGUCACAAGUCCACCAUCUUCACCUGAAUCACAGCACCGCAGACAGUUCGAGAGAGAAUCGGAGGAGAGAUAGAGACGAGCAGUCAGACGAUGACCAUUUUCCAGAAAGAACAACAGAUCAUGCAAAGCAUAUAUACUGAUCUGCUUUUAGCAACUACACAUUUCUCAAAUGUAAAAUGAAAGAACUGCUUCCAAUCAGUGACAAUGAUAGUAAAACAUAUUGCUGAAAAUGAUUUUGCCGCUGCAAUUGCAUACUGAUGCUAUUAAGCUCCAGUGAAGGACAGUGAAGUGAUGGAGAAUUAAUCGAGGCUGGUUUUAUCCCGCACUCUGCGCAAUGGCUUCAUAUUGAUCACUGUUUACAGAUAUAAUCACUUUCAGAUUCAUUCUUCAUCAGUAUGGCCUCCUGUAUUGAUUUGGUUUUACUCAUGUCUCUCCAUAAAGGCCCUGCGUGAGUGCAAAACCCAGGGAGAGAAUGUGCGUGUCUCAUAUUUAUGUAUGUGUGUGUGUGUUCAUUCAGGCUGUAAUCCUGUUAUGUUUUAUGAGAUAUCGCUCUUUGUUUCUUUGUGAGUGUACAGUGCAGCACAAAGGUCUCCUCUGCAAGAAAUAAACCCACUUGAGAAGAUAAAAUGUGAUUGCAAAAACAAGCAGUAGCGAUGUUAAGUACAAAAUCAUAACAAUCCGAACAUAAAACUGAAUUGAACUGAUACAGAUGCUUAUAAUGCACACAGAUAUACUGUAUGGACAGAGAAGUGAGUUACUUUUAAAUGAGUGUUCUCUUUUUCGCUUUUCUUUUUUUAAUUCAAUUCAAUUCAAUUCAAUUCAAUUCAAGUUUAUUUGUAUAGCGCUUUUUACGAUACAAAUCAUUGCAAAGCAACUUUACAGAAAAUUAAGUUUCUACAAUAUUUAGUAGUAGCUUAUCAGUGAUGACUGUCAGUUUAUGUGUAUACGGCAGAAAUGUUCAGAAAAAUCAAUAAAAGACGUAAAUAAACAGACGAUUAACACUAUUAACAGCAAUUAUGCAAUCAAACUUAGAGCAAAAUGUGGUAGUUCUGUAUGUUGUCUCUGGGUUAGCAUCAUCUGAGGUCCUCUGAGGGGUUGGCAUCAUCUCUUCUCAGGUGUUCUGGAUCCAGACUGGAGCUUGUGUAAAUCCUAGUUACCACAGGAUAUAAAUCCCGUGGCAAAACAGAGAAACAAAUAAAGACAUAAUUAGCGUAGCUGCUGUUCCAGCCAAGUAAAAUUAAUUAGUUUAACCCAAGUUAAAGAAUAAUAAUGCGCAUUUGAUCGGAUAUAACUGCAGUCCAAAAUUAUAAGAUGCAUUAUUUGAAUGCUUGGCCAAAAAGGUGUGUUUUUAAUCUAGAUUUAAACAGAGGAAGUGUGUCUGAACCCCGAACAUUAUCAGGAAGGCUAUUCCAGAGUUU
Long non-coding RNA from Cyprinus carpio carpio, 2121 nucleotides. The record is from Ensembl. Lineage: Eukaryota; Metazoa; Chordata; Actinopteri; Cypriniformes; Cyprinidae.